GAAUUUUAUAUAAAUUUAUUGGUUGAUUUAGUAUUGGAAAAGGGUAGAUUUAUAUUUUAUUGGGAGGAUAAUUAAAUUAUAAAAACUUUAAUAGAAUUUAAAUCAUUAAUUUAUGUAUUAUAAUUAAUAAGGAAUGGUUAAGUAAAUUUAAGUAGAAUUAAUUACCUUAGGGAUAACAGCGUAAUAUUUUUGGAGAGAUCUUAUUAAUAAAAAUGUUUGC
RNAcentral lists this ribosomal RNA (220 nucleotides) under Pheidole cataractae. RNAcentral describes it as "partial large subunit ribosomal RNA". Lineage: Eukaryota; Metazoa; Arthropoda; Insecta; Hymenoptera; Formicidae. The record is from RNAcentral.